CGCAGGGGAGCGCCGGGGUUGAAAGAGGAGAGGGAGGGACGGCUGAGGAUGCGGAGCGCUCGGCUGGUGCCGUCAGCAGGUUACUUUGGACUGAAUGCUCCUUAACACCUGCUGCCUCCUUCCUCUUUCUCUUUUAAUAGGCAUUUCAACUGCUACGUAUUGGGUAGAAAGAAUGUCUGCGGAGAAGUAACAUAGCUGAUUUAUUUUGUGAAGCUACUGUGGUUGCUUUACCUUGUUGUCAGAAUCCACAUGGACAUGCAAUACUAGGUCACGAAUCCAGAGUGUUUUCUGAUGGGCCUUGAAGGAAAAUAAAACAAACAGAAAAACCCAACCGUGUUUGGUUUGCGCCCUUGGAAGGUCUGAGCUCUGUGGGAUGUAAUUUUAAAAUAUUUCCUAUGUUUUCUUUUACUUAGUCUCAAUACGUCAGGCUCAGCUAAACGAAGAACUAAAUUAAAACUAUCAUUUCAGCUCAUAAAUAACAGAUGUCUCACCCGUUUAAUUAUUUAUAGUCUUGAAUCUUUCAAAAAUGAAAAUGGCUAUAUACACAUUUUUAAUGUAGUUCUUGGUAAUUUGCUGCAUGAAUGAUAAGACUUGAGAUAAUCCCGGCACACAAACAUGAAAAAUAAAACUUUGACUGACUCGCUUA
Pezoporus occidentalis (night parrot) is the source of this 646-nucleotide long non-coding RNA. RefSeq lists it as uncharacterized. Lineage: Eukaryota; Metazoa; Chordata; Aves; Psittaciformes; Psittacidae. The record is from RefSeq and is a predicted model, not a curated record. The transcript is spliced from 3 exons.